CCUACGGGGGGCAGCAGUAGGGAAUAUUGCUCAAUGGGGGAAACCCUGAAGCAGCAACGCCGCGUGGAGGAUGAAGGUUUUAGGAUUGUAAACUUCUUUUGUUAGAGAAGAUUAUGACGGUAUCUGACGAAUAAGCACCGGCUAACUCCGUGCCAGCAGCCGCGGUAAUACGGAGGGUGCAAGCGUUACCCGGAUUCACUGGGCGUAAAGAGUGCGUAGGCGGGGUAAUAAGUCAGAUGUGAAAUGCUGUAGCUUAACUACAGAACUGCAUUGGAAACUGUUACUCUGGAGUGUGGGAGAGGUAGGUGGAAUUCUUGGUGUAGGGGUAAAAUGCGUAGAGAUCAAGAGGAAUAC
This 354-nucleotide ribosomal RNA is filed under the name uncultured bacterium. RNAcentral's name for it is "partial 16S ribosomal RNA". It matches the Rfam family "Bacterial small subunit ribosomal RNA", at positions 338 to 709 of the family's 1533-position model. The record is from RNAcentral.